Chrysemys picta bellii (western painted turtle) is the source of this 178-nucleotide unclassified non-coding RNA. NCBI's taxonomy places the organism in Eukaryota, Metazoa, Chordata, Testudines, Emydidae. The record is from Ensembl.
AUAACAGCUUUUCAGCUCUGAAGGUUUAUAUUUAUACACAGAGUAGGUACAGUGCAGGCUUUGGCAGUGCAAGCUUCAUCACAGUGACCUGCCAGUGUGCCUCAGCCCUCACAAAGGGGAACAAGCUAAAGGAACAAGAGGGCAAUUCAGUCACUAUGUCUAUUCAGCCUUUCCCCUU